RNAcentral lists this ribosomal RNA (60 nucleotides) under Inocybe sp. R4. Its description in RNAcentral is "partial 28S ribosomal RNA". The record is from RNAcentral. Lineage: Eukaryota; Fungi; Basidiomycota; Agaricomycetes; Agaricales; Inocybaceae.
AUAAGACCUCAAAUCAGGUAGGACUACCCGCUGAACUUAAGCAUAUCAAUUAGCCCAGGA